This 232-nucleotide long non-coding RNA is filed under the name Manihot esculenta (cassava). RNAcentral describes it as "long non-coding RNA (MESC_LNC004694)". Lineage: Eukaryota; Viridiplantae; Streptophyta; Magnoliopsida; Malpighiales; Euphorbiaceae. The record is from RNAcentral.
UUUUUGUUAUGGUUUUGUAGAAAAGGAAGAAAUUGAAAUGUUGGAGAAAAAGUGCAAAAAAUGACAGCAAAAGUGAUUGGACCAGUGAUUUGCCCAAAUCACUCGCAGAAACUGCCCAGAUCACUAGCAGAGAUAGCACAGACUUGCAGAAAGUGAUUGGACCAGUGAUUUGCCCAAAUCACUGCCCCGAUCACAAUGACAGCAGAAAAUACAGCAGAGCGGGAAAUUGUUC